RNAcentral lists this ribosomal RNA (429 nucleotides) under Gemmatimonadota bacterium. RNAcentral describes it as "Gemmatimonadetes bacterium partial 16S ribosomal RNA". It matches the Rfam family "Bacterial small subunit ribosomal RNA", at positions 355 to 776 of the family's 1533-position model. The record is from RNAcentral. Lineage: Bacteria; Pseudomonadati; Gemmatimonadota.
UAGGGAAUCUUCGGCAAUGGACGAAAGUCUGACCGAGCAACGCCGCGUGAGUGAAGAAGGUUUUCGGAUCGUAAAACUCUGUUGUUAGAGAAGAACAAGGACGUUAGUAACUGAACGUCCCCUGACGGUAUCUAACCAGAAAGCCACGGCUAACUACGUGCCAGCAGCCGCGGUAAUACGUAGGUAGCAAGCGUUGUCCGGAUUUAUUGGGCGUAAAGCGAGCGCAGGCGGUUUCUUAAGUCUGAUGUGAAAGCCCCCGGCUCAACCGGGGAGGGUCAUUGGAAACUGGGAGACUUGAGUGCAGAAGAGGAGAGUGGAAUUCCAUGUGUAGCGGUGAAAUGCGUAAAUAUAUGGAGGAACACCAGUGGCGAAGGCGGCUCUCUGGUCUGUAACUGACGCUGAGGCUCGAAAGCGUGGGGAGCAAACAGG